Molecule: ribosomal RNA, 429 nt
Filed under: Bacteroidota bacterium
Lineage: Bacteria; Pseudomonadati; Bacteroidota
Description: Bacteroidetes bacterium partial 16S ribosomal RNA
Rfam family: Bacterial small subunit ribosomal RNA
Source: RNAcentral
UAGGGAAUCUUCGGCAAUGGGGGGAACCCUGACCGAGCAACGCCGCGUGAGUGAAGAAGGUUUUCGGAUCGUAAAGCUCUGUUGUUAAGGAAGAACGAGUGUGAGAAUGGAAAGUUCAUGCUGUGACGGUACUUAACCGGAAAGGGACGGCUAACUACGUACCAGCAGCCGCGGUAAUACGUCGGUCCCGAGCGUGGUCCGGAUUUAUUGGGCGUAAAGCGAGCGCAGGAGGUUAGAAAAGUCUGAAGUGAAAGGCAGUGGCUCAACCGUAGUAGGCUUUGGAAACUGUUUAACUUGAAUGCAGAAGGGGAGAGUGGAAUUCGAUGUGUAGCGGUGAAAUGCGUAGAUAUAUGGAGGAACACCGGUGGCGAAGGCGGGUCUCUGGUCUGUAACUGACGCUGAGGCUUGAAAGCGUGGGGAGCGAACAGG